AUUGAACGCUGGCGGCAGGCCUAACACAUGCAAGUCGAGCGGAGCGGCGGACGGGUGAGUAAUGCCUGGGAAUCUGCCUGGUAGUGGGGGAUAACGUCCGGAAACGGGCGCUAAUACCGCAUACUAUCAGAUGAGCCUAGGUCGGAUUAGCUCGUUGGUGGGGUAAAGGCGUACCAAGGCGACGAUCCGUAACUGGUCUGAGCGGAUGAUCAGUCACACUGGAACUGAGACACGGUCCAGACUCCUAGGGUAGGCAGCAGGGGGGAAGAGGGGACAAUGGGCGAAAGGCUGAUCCAGCCAUGCAGCGUGUGUGAAGAAGGUCUUAGGAUUGUAAAGCACUUUAAGUUGGGAGGCGUUACCAACAGAAGAAGCACCGGCUAACUUCGUGCCAGCAGCCGCGGUAAUUC
Molecule: ribosomal RNA, 407 nt
Filed under: uncultured bacterium
Lineage: Bacteria
Description: partial 16S ribosomal RNA
Rfam family: Bacterial small subunit ribosomal RNA
Source: RNAcentral